CUCAUUCUCUCUUGCUGCCACAAUGUAAGAAUUGUCUUUCACCCUCUGCCGCGUAAGAAUUUUCUUUCACCCUCUGCCGUGAUCGUGAGACCUUCCCCAGCCAUGUGAAACUUUUUCAGCUUUCCUCCACUGUUUUGGGAAACGUCAUAUUCUUAUCUUGGAAGAGUAAUCUGAAAAUUGAAGCAUCUUAGAUCCAACAAGGAUUAAAAGGAGAUGUCCUUGCAGCCAUCCAAUAGAGUCAGAAGACUUUGGAUUUUGGAGUCUGUGAGAUGAUGUACUCACAUCCCAACAAAUUGAAAAUGCUGACCAAUCCCAGCAUAGCCAACUCGAAUUUGCUCCUCCGUCAAAGUGACUAGUACCUCAUUUCUUCCUCUUUAGAAUUUGUAGUUCAGGAACUUUGCAGAUCUCUUAUUAACUCUUCAGUUAAUAAUGAGAGUCCUAUGGCUAUUGAUAUCUAGCAUCGUGGCUUCACUUACAUGGAUGAGCCCCAGCUGGAAUGCCUAGAAGACGUGGGACAGCUGGAUCUCUCUCCACACGGUUUUUCAUUGUUGCCUCAGGUUCCAACAAAAGCAAAAGCUGCAAGGUCUUCUGAGGGGAAGACUUAGAAAUACCACAAUGUUACUUCUGCUGCAUUUUGUUGACAAAAAAUCCCACAAUGCCAGCUUCAUUUAAAGGGGUAAAGAUACAGAUUAUUCACCUUCGAUGGGAGGAACUGCAAAUGAUGUAAUUUGUGAUAAUUUUUAAUAUAUUGUAAUGUAUUGACUUAUCUUUAAAAAAUGAAAAAUAAACCAAAAACUAAAAGCAAAACAAAACUAUAAUAGAAAACAACUGCUUCUGGAGGAGGAAUGCAAUGGGGAAAAUAUUAUAGAAACAAAAGUUACAUUUUAUUUGAAUAUACCUGUUUUAGGUUUGACCCUGGUAACAUUUAAUAUUUUACAUAAUUAUAUCAUUAUUUAAAAUUAAAUUUAAAAUUUAAUUUUAAAACACCAAUACCUAUAACAGAAAAGUUUGAUAAAACAGGUGAAAUAUAAAUAUAAAUAUAAAUAUAUUAAGUUGGCAUUAUAAUCACACAGACAUGAAUUAUAUCAUUUACUCAAACACAGAUAUUUGACUAUACAACCUUUGUGAGAUAUCCUAAGGACAAAAAAAAUGCAAAAACAUAUAUUGAACUGUUAUAAAAUUAUAUUUUUUGCAAUGGAAUUAUUAUUGUGAGACAAGUGUGUACAUAUUUUAAGAUCAAGCAAGUUAGUAAGUUUGUUGACAUUAUUGUAAAUGAGAUUUGUCCCAUGGGGUAAAGAAGAUAUAAUAGCAAGUAGAAGAAAAUAAAUGAAAACCCAAUAAUAUGAGUUUGAAGUUAAACUAUCAGUAUGAAGUCAUAAAGCAUUUUCCCAACAAAAAGAAAAAAAAUAGUUUCCUAGUUCUAAUCACUUAAAAGUAUAUAGAAACAACAUAAAACUCAAUAUCAAGAGGAAAUGUAAUACUCAGAUUGUUCUCUGUAGACAUUUCCCCUAAAAGGAGUUGAAGUUCAUUGCAAAAAGUGUCUAAUUCCGGCUUGGGGGGUUGAAUAUUGUACAACAUGAGCCUGGAAUAUCAACUUCUCUUAUUAAAAAGCGAGGCAGUUUUGAAAGACUAUUAGGAUGCAUCAAAGAGACUCAGAGGAGUCACCCUGAAGAGGUUACCAUUGGCCAAAGGUAAAAAUUUGAGAAUCAAUAAGAAAAACAAAGGCAGUAGAUUAAAAUGCCUCAAAUAUGCUUAAAUCUAUCUGUUCCUAAUAAUGUUAAUUGAAAAAUAAUGUUGUCAUUGGACACCUUUGAAGAAUGUUAGGGAUCCAUAAGAAUGUAUUGUUUUGAAUUGAAGAGAAGAAUUAAGUAUUUAUCCUGUUUUUCCUUUAUGGAUUAUGUCUAAGGAUAACCAAAUGUUGAUGAUAGAAAAUCCUUUUUAAAGAUACCUUUAGCCAAAGAAUGAAGAAAGAAUGAUAGAAUUGAAAUGUUACCAUUUUUGCAACCCCUAAUGAAAUAAUGAAUCUAGCCAGUUGUCAUCAAUUGUUGCUAACAUAAAAAAUGAGAGACAAACAGACACGCCUCUUCAUAGAAGCAUAUGAUACCACCUAUAAAAUAUUACUGCCAGAAAAAAAAAUCAAACUUUGGAUCUAAUUACCAAUUAGAUCAGAGUUUAGAUCUAACUACCAAUUUGCAAUAUUUACAGGAGAUACAGGAGCAUGUUGAAUGACACCAUAAAAAGGCAAUCAGUAAAAUUUAGUUUAUUAUAAACUAUAUAGGAUAAAUGAUCCCGUUGCUGCAAUAAAUAUAUUACAGAAGGUGUGUAUUGGGGGGUGGGAGAUAAAGGAGCAAUCUAUGAUAAAAGCAGACUUAAGGGACAUAAAAACAACUUUAAUGUAUGGAUCUUAUUUGGAUCCUUAAGAAAACAAAUUGUAAAGUAACAUGAGACAUUUGAAGAAAAUAGAAAUAGUUUUUAAUUGUGGUAAUGAUAUUGUGGUUAUACAUUGUUAAAGAAAGCCUUUAGAGGUAAAUACAGAAAUAUCUGCAGAUGAGCUAAAAUGAUGUCUAGAAUUUACAUAAAAGUAAUCCUGUAGGGAGAGUGAAGAAGUGGAAAGAGUGGAUAUUGAUAAGCAAGAGUAGCUAUAAGUUGACCACUGCUGAAUGUUGUUGAUGGGUAAAUGAAAAUGUGUUAUAUAUUUUUUUACUUAUAUAUUUGAAGAUUUUGAUUUUUAAAAAAGUGAAGCUGAGAAAGGGAAAAUCGUUUUUCUUGAUGUCGGGCUUUGAACCGAGAUAAAAAUAAAACCACUGUAGACCAAAGCGGAAAAAUAAAAAGCAAACAUAAACUUUUAUACUUUCAGCUCUCUAUUACUGGCUUGUAUUUUUUUUAAUUUUUAUUUUAAGUUCCAGGGUACAUGUGCAGGAUGUGCAGGUUUGUUGCUUUUGUAAAUGUGUGCCGUGGUGGUUUGCUACAUCUAUCAACCCAUCAUCUAGGUAUUAAGCCCAGAAUGCAUUACCUAUUUUUCCUAAUGCUCUCCCACCCCGCUCUCUACCCCCCAACAGGCCCCAGGAUGUGCUGUUCCCUUCCCCGUGUGCAUGUGUUCUUAUUGUUCAGUUCCCACAUAUAAGUGAGAACAUAUGGUUUUCUGUUUCUGCAUUAGUUUGCUGAGGAUAAUGGAUUCUAGAUCCAUUCAUGGCUCUGCAAAGGACAUGAUCUCAUUCCUUUUUAUGGCUGCAUAGUAUUCCAUGGUGUACAUGUACUUUUGAUUGCCUAUUUCAUUUACUUAAACAUAUUCAACCUUUCAAAAAUAUAUUGUUGGUACCUGAAAAUUACAAUAAAUUUGGUGUUUUGGGGUCUGA
This is a long non-coding RNA of Pongo pygmaeus (Bornean orangutan), 3356 nucleotides long. RefSeq lists it as uncharacterized. The transcript has 5 exons. NCBI's taxonomy places the organism in Eukaryota, Metazoa, Chordata, Mammalia, Primates, Hominidae. The record is from RefSeq and is a predicted model, not a curated record.